GACGAACGCUGGCGGCGUGCUUAACACAUGCAAGUCGAACGGAAAGGCCCUGCUUUUGUGGGGUGCUCGAGUGGCGAACGGGUGAGUAACACGUGAGUAACCUGCCCUUGACUUUGGGAUAACUUCAGGAAACUGGGGCUAAUACCGGAUAGGAGCUCCUGCUGCAUGGUGGGGGUUGGAAAGUUUCGGCGGUUGGGGAUGGACUCGCGGCUUAUCAGCUUGUCGGUGGGGUAGUGGCUUACCAAGGCUUUGACGGGUAGCCGGCCUGAGAGGGUGACUGGCCACAUUGGGACUGAGAUACGGCCCAGACUCCUACGGGAGGCAGCAGUGGGGAAUAUUGCACAAUGGGCGGAAGCCUGAUGCAGCAACGCCGCGUGCGGGAUGACGGCCUUCGGGUUGUAAACCGCUUUCGCCUGUGACGAAGCGUGAGUGACGGUAAUGGGUAAAGAAGCACCGGCUAACUACGUG
This 468-nucleotide ribosomal RNA is filed under the name uncultured bacterium. Its description in RNAcentral is "partial 16S ribosomal RNA". It matches the Rfam family "Bacterial small subunit ribosomal RNA", at positions 28 to 507 of the family's 1533-position model. The record is from RNAcentral.